CCUACGGGCGGCUGCAGUGAGGAAUAUUGGUCAAUGGGCGGGAGCCUGAACCAGCCAAGUAGCGUGCGGGAUGACGGCCCUACGGAUCGUAAACCGCUUUUGCACGGGGAUAACACCCUCCACUUGUGGACGUCUGCAGGUUCCGUGCGGAUUAGGGCCGGCUAAUUCCGUGCCAGCAGCCGCGGUAAUACGGAAGGCCGGAGCGUUUUCCGGGUUCAUUGGGCUUAAAGGGUGCGUAGGCGGGCCUUUAAGCCGGCGGUGAAAUGGCGGGGCUCAACCCCGGCGGGCCGUUGGAACUGGGGGCCUUGAGUGGGGGGGAGGUAUGCGGAAUGCGUGGUGUAGCGGUGAAAUGCAUAGAUAUCGCGCAGAACUCCGAUUGCGAAGGCAGCGUGCCGUGGCGCCACUGACGCUGAGGCACGAAAGCGUGGGGAUCGAACAGGAUUAGAUACCCGAGUAGUC
RNAcentral lists this ribosomal RNA (459 nucleotides) under uncultured bacterium. RNAcentral's name for it is "partial 16S ribosomal RNA". It matches the Rfam family "Bacterial small subunit ribosomal RNA", at positions 338 to 795 of the family's 1533-position model. The record is from RNAcentral.